CUGGAUCCGAUUUUUUUCGUUCAACAGAGGAAUAAAAGAGGAACUGAAAAAUAGCAGUGAAUGCGCUUCACAAAACAUCACAGCUUCUCCUCCCGCCCGCGAACUGAAUUCUUUCCUGUCCGGCGGCUAGAGUUGAGGGGUAACAGGAGCAGUAUUUAUUGGACUGUUCGGUGCAGUGUCGUUGUUGCCACAAGAGGUUGCCCGAGUGCACUACAGUUUUGGUCUUCUUCUCUUCUUUCUCGAUUUCAAAGUCUCCAGCUUUUCUCCGGUCUUCAGUCAACCGGAACCUCGCUUAACUACAGAUCAAUGAUUCAGGCCACCAAGGCACCAACAGUGCUCAGCGCUUAACUACUUGGUCUGGCACUAUAAGAUUCCUCCUCCUUCCCCAGUCGCUA
Molecule: long non-coding RNA, 395 nt
Filed under: Hordeum vulgare
Lineage: Eukaryota; Viridiplantae; Streptophyta; Magnoliopsida; Poales; Poaceae
Description: long non-coding RNA (HVUL_LNC002387)
Source: RNAcentral